GUGGGGAAUCUUCCGCAAUGGACGAAAGUCUGACGGAGCAACGCCGCGUGAGUGAAGAAGGUUUUCGGACUGUAAAGCUCUGUUGUUUAGGACGAAAGUGCCUGUUGCAAAUAGUUACAGGUAUUGACGGUACUGAACGAGGAAGCCACGGCUAACUACGUGCCAGCAGCCGCGGUAAUACGUAGGUGGCAAGCGUUGUCCGGAAUUAUUGGGCGUAAAGAGCAUGUAGGCGGGAAUCUAAGUCUGUUGUGAAAAUGCGGGGCUCAACCCCGUAUUGCGAUGGAAACUGGGUUUCUUGAGUGCAGGAGAGGAAAGGGGAAUUCCCAGUGUAGCGGUGAAAUGCGUAGAUAUUGGGAGGAACACCAGUGGCGAAGGCGCCUUUCUGGACUGUGUCUGACGCUGAGAUGCGAAAGCCAGGGUAGCGAACGGGAUUAGAUACCCGGGUAGUCC
Molecule: ribosomal RNA, 450 nt
Filed under: uncultured bacterium
Lineage: Bacteria
Description: partial 16S ribosomal RNA
Rfam family: Bacterial small subunit ribosomal RNA
Source: RNAcentral